Molecule: ribosomal RNA, 450 nt
Filed under: uncultured bacterium
Lineage: Bacteria
Description: partial 16S ribosomal RNA
Rfam family: Bacterial small subunit ribosomal RNA
Source: RNAcentral
GUGGGGAAUCUUCCGCAAUGGACGAAAGUCUGACGGAGCAACGCCGCGUGAGUGAAGAAGGUUUUCGGAUCGUAAAGCUCUUUCGUUAGGGACGAACGUGCUCUUUGUGAAUAAUGAGGAGUAAUGACGGUACCUAAAUAAGAAGCCACGGCUAACUACGUGCCAGCAGCCGCGGUAAUACGUAGGUGGCAAGCGUUGUCCGGAAUUAUUGGGCGUAAAGCGCGCGCAGGCGGGAUAUCAAGUCUGUCUUAAAAGUGCGAGGCUCAACCUCGUGAGGGGACAGAAACUGGUAUUCUUGAGUGUCGGAGAGGAAAGUGGAAUUCCAAGUGUAGCGGUGAAAUGCGUAGAGAUUUGGAAGAACACCAGUGGCGAAGGCGACUUUCUGGACGAUGUCUGACGCUGAGGCGCGAAAGCUAGGGGAGCGAACGGGAUUAGAUACCCCAGUAGUCC